AAAAGGUGGCUAUGCUACCGCUUUCGGAUGGGCCCGCGGCGCAUUAGCUAGUUGGUGGGGUAAAGGCUUACCAAGGCAAUGAUGCGUAGCCGAACUGAGAGGUUGAUCGGCCACAUUGGGACUGAGACACGGCCCAAACUCCUACGGGAGGCAGCAGUAGGGAAUCUUCCACAAUGGGCGAAAGCCUGAUGGAGCAACGCCGCGUGGGUGAAGAAGGUCUUCGGAUCGUAAAACCCUGUUGUUAGAGAAGAAAGUGCGUGAGAGUAACUGUUCACGUUUCGACGGUAUCUAACCAGAAAGCCACGGCUAACUACGUGCCAGCAGCCGCGGUAAUACGUAGGUGGCAAGCGUUAUCCGGAUUUAUUGGGCGUAAAGGGAACGCAGGCGGUCUUUUAAGUCUGAUGUGAAAGCCUUCGGCUUAACCGGAGUAGUGCAUUGGAAACUGGGAGACUUGAGUGCAGAAGAGGAGAGUGGAACUCCAUGUGUAGCGGUGAAAUGCGUAGAUAUAUGGAAGAACACCAGUGGCGAAAGCGGCUCUCUGGUCUGUAACUGACGCUGAGGUUCGAAAGCGUGGGUAGCAAACAGGAUUAGAUACCCUGGUAGUCCACGCCGUAAACGAUGAAUGCUAAGUGUUGGAGAGUUUCCGCCCUUCA
Molecule: ribosomal RNA, 653 nt
Filed under: uncultured bacterium
Lineage: Bacteria
Description: bacterial SSU rRNA
Rfam family: Bacterial small subunit ribosomal RNA
Source: RNAcentral